UACAGAGGUCCCGAGCGUUGUUCGGAUUCAUUGGGCGUAAAGGGUGCGUAGGCGGCGGGGAAAGUCUGAUGUGAAAUCCUGGGGCUCAACCCUGGAACUGCAUUGGAUACUUCCUUGCUAGAGUACUGGAGAGGAAACUGGAAUUUACGGUGUAGCAGUGAAAUGCGUUGAUAUCUACAGGAACUCCGGUGGCGAAAGCGGCGCGCUGGACCUCUUCUGACGCUGAGGCGCGAAAGCUAGGGGAGCAAACGGG
Molecule: ribosomal RNA, 253 nt
Filed under: uncultured bacterium
Lineage: Bacteria
Description: partial 16S ribosomal RNA
Rfam family: Bacterial small subunit ribosomal RNA
Source: RNAcentral